UACAGAGGGGGCAAGCGUUGUUCGGAAUUACUGGGCGUAAAGGGCGCGUAGGCGGCCCGAUCAGUCAGAUGUGAAAGCCCCGGGCUCAACCUGGGAACUGCAUUUGAUACUGUCGGGCUUGAGUUCCGGAGAGGAUGGUGGAAUUCCCAGUGUAGAGGUGAAAUUCGUAGAUAUUGGGAAGAACACCGGUGGCGAAGGCGGCCAUCUGGACGGACACUGACGCUGAGGCGCGAAAGCGUGGGGAGCGAACAGG
RNAcentral lists this ribosomal RNA (253 nucleotides) under uncultured bacterium. Its description in RNAcentral is "partial 16S ribosomal RNA". It matches the Rfam family "Bacterial small subunit ribosomal RNA", at positions 524 to 776 of the family's 1533-position model. The record is from RNAcentral.